ACUGCUUUUCUAGACUUCCUAGCAUGGGCUGUUGUGCUGGAGAGAACGAGAGCUACGAAGAGACUACAGUGCCUCUGACUUUUUCAUAGGACAGUUGGCCGAGGAAGACAAACAUAAAGAUGAAGUGCUUAAUUCAAGGUCACACAAUGUCGGGGAUGGACCUCCAGAUUUCCUUACUGACCUGCAUUAUCUUGUGGAUACCUGAGUGAAUUCCACACCACCCAUUUUAUAGAUGAAACCACUGAGACAUGGAGCAAUUGACUGAGUAGUCACUGCCCCACCCCUGCCUGGAGCCUCACACAUGACUCGCCUCCUCUCAGUGACCACAGGUUGGUUGAGGGGUUUAACAAGGCUAAGAAGGUGAGACGUGGUCUUGUAACACAGUGGUUAAGAAUGUGACUUUGGAGCCAGCCUGCUAGGGGCUGAAUUCUGACUCAGCCAUUUACUAACUGUGUGACCUUAGGCUGGAGUGCAAUGGCAUGAUCUCGGCUCAUCACAACCUCUGCUUCCUGGGUUCAAGCGAUUCUCCUGCCUCAGCCUCCCGAGUACCUGGGACUACAGGCACUCGCCACCAUG
Molecule: long non-coding RNA, 576 nt
Filed under: Homo sapiens (human)
Lineage: Eukaryota; Metazoa; Chordata; Mammalia; Primates; Hominidae
Description: non-protein coding PCBP1-AS1:130
Source: RNAcentral